This 1363-nucleotide ribosomal RNA is filed under the name uncultured bacterium. Its description in RNAcentral is "bacterial SSU rRNA". It matches the Rfam family "Bacterial small subunit ribosomal RNA", at positions 28 to 1381 of the family's 1533-position model. The record is from RNAcentral.
AUUGAACGCUGGCGGCAGGCCUAACACAUGCAAGUCGAACGGUAACAGGAAACAGCUUGCUGUUUCGCUGACGAGUGGCGGACGGGUGAGUAAUGUCUGGGAAACUGCCUGAUGGGGGGGGAUAACUACUGGAAACGGUAGCUAAUACCGCAUAACGUCGCAAGACCAAAGAGGGGGACCCUCGGGCCUCUUGCCAUCGGAUGUGCCCAGAUGGGAUUAGCUUGUUGGUGGGGUAACGGCUCACCAAGGCGACGAUCCCUAGCUGGUCUGAGAGGAUGACCAGCCACACUGGAACUGAGACACGGUCCAGACUCCUACGGGAGGCAGCAGUGGGGAAUAUUGCACAAUGGGCGCAAGCCUGAUGCAGCCAUGCCGCGUGUAUGAAGAAGGCCUUCGGGUUGUAAAGUACUUUCAGCGGGGAGGAAGGGAGUAAAGUUAAUACCUUUGCUCAUUGACGUUACCCGCAGAAGAAGCACCGGCUAACUCCGUGCCAGCAGCCGCGGUAAUACGGAGGGUGCAAGCGUUAAUCGGAAUUACUGGGCGUAAAGCGCACGCAGGCGGUUUGUUAAGUCAGAUGUGAAAUCCCCGGGCUCAACCUGGGAACUGCAUCUGAUACUGGCAAGCUUGAGUCUCGUAGAGGGGGGUAGAAUUCCAGGUGUAGCGGUGAAAUGCGUAGAGAUCUGGAGGAAUACCGGUGGCGAAGGCGGCCCCCUGGACGAAGACUGACGCUCAGGUGCGAAAGCGUGGGGAGCAAACAGGAUUAGAUACCCUGGUAGUCCACGCCGUAAACGAUGUCGACUUGGAGGUUGUGCCCUUGAGGCGUGGCUUCCGGAGCUAACGCGUUAAGUCGACCGCCUGGGGAGUACGGCCGCAAGGUUAAAACUCAAAUGAAUUGACGGGGGCCCGCACAAGCGGUGGAGCAUGUGGUUUAAUUCGAUGCAACGCGAAGAACCUUACCUGGUCUUGACAUCCACGGAAGUUUUCAGAGAUGAGAAUGUGCCUUCGGGAACCGUGAGACAGGUGCUGCAUGGCUGUCGUCAGCUCGUGUUGUGAAAUGUUGGGUUAAGUCCCGCAACGAGCGCAACCCUUAUCCUUUGUUGCCAGCGGUCCGGCCGGGAACUCAAAGGAGACUGCCAGUGAUAAACUGGAGGAAGGUGGGGAUGACGUCAAGUCAUCAUGGCCCUUACGACCAGGGCUACACACGUGCUACAAUGGCGCAUACAAAGAGAAGCGACCUCGCGAGAGCAAGCGGACCUCAUAAAGUGCGUCGUAGUCCGGAUUGGAGUCUGCAACUCGACUCCAUGAAGUCGGAAUCGCUAGUAAUCGUGGAUCAGAAUGCCACGGUGAAUACGUUCCCGGGCCU